CCAGACUCCUCGGGAGGCAGCAGUAGGGAAUCUUCGGCAAUGGACGAAAGUCUGACCGAGCAACGCCGCGUGAGUGAAGAAGGUUUUCGGAUCGUAAAACUCUGUUGGUAGAGAAGAACGUUGGUGAGAGUGGAAAGCUCAUCAAGUGACGGUAACUACCCAGAAAGGGACGGCUAACUACGUGCCAGCAGCCGCGGUAAUACGUAGGUCCCGAGCGUUGUCCGGAUUUAUUGGGCGUAAAGCGAGCGCAGGUGGUUUAUUAAGUCUGGUGUAAAAGGCAGUGGCUCGACCAUUGUAUGCAUUGGAAACUGGUAGACUUGAGUGCAGGAGAGGAGAGUGGAAUUCCAUGUGUAGCGGUGAAAUGCGUAGAUAUAUGGAGGAACACCGGUGGCGAAAGCGGCUCUCUGGCCUGUAACUGACACUGAGGCUCGAAAGCGUGGGGAGCAAACAGGAUUAGAUACCCUGGUAGUCCACGCCGUAAACGAUGAGUGCUAGAUGUAGGGAGCUAUAAGUUCUCUGUAUCGCAGCUAACGCAAUAAGCACUCCGCCUGGGGAGUACGACCGCAAGGUUGAAACUCAAAGGAAUUGACGGGGGCCCGCACAAG
Molecule: ribosomal RNA, 605 nt
Filed under: uncultured bacterium
Lineage: Bacteria
Description: bacterial SSU rRNA
Rfam family: Bacterial small subunit ribosomal RNA
Source: RNAcentral